RNAcentral lists this long non-coding RNA (3195 nucleotides) under Macaca fascicularis (crab-eating macaque). RNAcentral's name for it is "lncRNA (ENSMFAG00000053900.1)". The record is from RNAcentral. Lineage: Eukaryota; Metazoa; Chordata; Mammalia; Primates; Cercopithecidae.
ACCGAGGAAGCCAGGAAAAGGAGGGGACCCCUAGGAACUGCUUUUAUUUUUAUGAUCUUAUAUUUUGUUUUGCUUUUAUAGCGCUAUCGUUUAGAUACAGUAAAAUGCACACAAUCUGAGUGUGCAAUUCGAUGAGUUUUGUAAAGUGUACACCGGUGUACCCAGCUCUCCCACGUCGGCUGGGUGCCAGGGUAAGUCGAUGUUUAGCUUUAUGGGAAACCGCCACCUGUUUUCCAAAAUGAUUGAUUAUAUCCAGUUUACAUUCCCACCUGCAGUAGGAGAGCUCCAGUAGAUAGACACAUUGGUCAGCCUUUCUUUUUUUUUUUUUUUUUAACUUCCAUCUUGGUCGGUGUGAAAUGGUAUAUUAUUGUGGUUUUAAUUUUAAUUUCCCAUAUAAUUAAUGGUGGGCACAUUUGCAUGUGCUCACUGGGUCAUUCAUAUUCUUUUGUGAAGCAUCUGCUCCAAUCUUUUCCCUGACUUUGGAGUUUUUUGUUUUAUGGACUGACAGGAGUUUAUUAUGGAUACAAAAUUGUUAAAUAUAUGUAUUCGAAGUAUCUUCUUCCAGUCUGUGGCUUACCAUUUCAUUUUCUUAAAGGUGUCUUUUGAGGAGCAGACACUUAUAUUGAUGCAAUUUUUCAGGUUUUUCUUCUGUUGUUUUUUGUGUCCUCUUUAAUAAAUCUUUGCCUACCCCAAGGUCAUGAAAAUAUUGUUUCCUUUUAGAUUAUUUAUAUUUUUAGCCUUUACUUCUGGGUCUAUUACUAUCUCAAAAUAAUUUUGUUGUGGUGUGAGAUGGGGGGUCCAGGUUCACUUUUUCCAUAUUUCUAAUUGUUUCAGCACCAUUUGUUGAAAACUUUUCCUUUCGCCAUUGGAUAGCCUUGGGACCUUUGUAAAAAAAACCAAGUCCAUUGAAUGUAUGUGGGUCUAUUUCUGACUCUUGUUAUAUUCUACUACUACUUAUGACAAUACCAGUGUCUCUUGGUUACUUUAGAUAUCAACUAAGUCUCAAACUUAGGUACUACUAAGUUCUCCAAAUUUGUUUUUUCAAUGUGAAGAUAUUAGCUAUUUGAGAUUCUUUGCAUUCCUUUUUAUUUAUUUUUUUAAAUUUCUUCUUUGAGACAAGGUCUCACUCUCCUGGGCGAGAGAGUGAGACUCCAUCUCACGAAAAAAAAAAAAAAGAAAUACAAGUGAUUUUUGUUUUUUGACCUUAAAACAGGCAACAUAGCUAACUUCACUUAUUUGUUCUAGUAAUUGUUCUGUAAAUUCCUUUAAAUUUUCUAGAUAAAUAAUGAUGUCAUUUGUGAAUACAUAAUUUAACUUCUUCCUUUCCAAUCUUUAUGCCUUUUAUUUCCUUUCAUUACAGUUUUUUCUUUUUGAGACAGGGUCUCACUUUGUCAACCAGGCUGCUGUAGCCUCCACCUCCCAGGCUCAAGGAUCCUCCCACCGUAGCCUCCUGAGUAGCUAGGACCACAGGUGCACACCACUACACCCAGCUAAUUUUUGUAUUUUUUUGUAGAGAUGGAGUUUCGCCCUGAUGCCCAGGCUGGUCUCAACAUGCUGAACUCAAGCGAUCCGUCCAUCUCAGCCUCUCAAAGUGCUGGGAUUACAGACAUGAGCCACCACGCCUAGCCAGUUUUACUUCUUUCUUUCCAGUCUUCAUGCUUUUUGCUUCCUUUCUUUAUUACGGUAACUUCUAGAGUCUCCUAUAGAAAGUAAAAUAAAAGUGGUGACUGUUGACACCAUUACUUUAUUGCUAAUUUCAGUGGGGAAAUAACAAUGUAGUAAUAAUAACUUUAAAUAAUAUGGUAGCUGUAAAUUUUUCUCAGAUACCUUUUAUCAGAUUGAUGAAGUUCUCUUUUAUUCCUGGUUUGCUGAGUUUUUAUAAUGCAUGGGUGUUGAAUUUUUCAAAUGUUUUUUCCUGCAUUUAUUGAGGUGAUCAUAUAUUCUGUUAACAUACCAAAUUUCAUUGAUCAAUUUUUGAAUGUUAACCCAACCUACCAUUCCUGGGAUAAAUCUCAUUUGGUUGUAGAUACAAAGGAUGCUAUAUCAUGACCAAAUGAGUAUUUUCAUAAAUAUUUUUGUGUCUGUGUUCAUGAGGAAUAUUAGUCAAUAAUUUUAUUUUCUUGUAAUGCCUUUAUCAGGUUUUGAUAUCAGAGUUAUGCCAGUCUCAUAAAACAAGAGUUUGCUUCAGAUUGGUAUCAUUUUUCCCUUAAAUGUUUAACAGAACCAUUUGGGCUUGACAUUUUCCUUGUUUGAAGAUUCUUUAUAAUGAAUUCAAUUUCUCAAUUAGAUACAAAGCUAUUCUGACUUUUAAUCUUUAAUCAGUUUUGAUAAAUUGUGCUUCUCAAGUGUUAAAAUAAUUGGUAAGCCAUUAGACUUAUGUAGCUCUAAUACCCUCAUGAGGAAAAUGAAACUUAAGUUUAGCCAAUCACAGUUGGCUAACUGGGAUAUUGGUUGUAUUGUCAUAAAUUUCUCAUUUGGAUAGUCCAAAUAAGGCAAACACUCAAACUUUAACCAAUGAAACAAUUUCUUUGCUCUGCAACCCCUUCUAACAGAGCCCCAAACCACUUCUGGUUUGUAACUGCUCAAUUUAUGAAGCACUGCUGGAAUACCUUAAAUUUUUUUUUGUUUGUUUGAGACAGAGUCUCACUCUGUAGCCCAAGCUGGAGUGUAUGAGCCAAGAUCGCGCCACUGCACUCCAGCAUGGUGACAGAGCGAGACUCCAUCUCAAAAAAAAAAAAAAAGAAAAAAGAAAUUCAGUCUUGCCAGGGAUUUACCAAUUGCAUCUUUUCAAACAACAAAUUUUUAAUUCAAUAAUUUUAAGAGAUAGGGUUUUGCUGUGUCAUCCAGUAAAAUGGACUCCUUUGAUGUACAUUAAUCAAAUAUAACUUUAACUUCUUUUAGCUAUAACUCUUUGUAUUCUUUUAGCUAUAGGUCUCUCUGCAUACACACAUAUACAUAUAUAUUUGUAUACACUCUAUAUAUUAUUUUAUUCGUGUGUGUGUGUAUUUAGUGGUUGCACUAGGGAUUACAAUGUGUAUCCUCAACUUAUCUCGAUCUAUUUAGAACUAAUAUUGUACCACAUUAGGUAAAAUAUAAGACCAUCACAACCAUAUAAUUCCACCCCAUCCUUUUUGCUAUCAUUGUCUGAAACUGUACUUUUAUAUAUGUUAUAAAAUACAUACUACAAUAAUACAA